Non-coding RNA from Aptenodytes forsteri (emperor penguin), 170 nucleotides. NCBI's taxonomy places the organism in Eukaryota, Metazoa, Chordata, Aves, Sphenisciformes, Spheniscidae. The record is from Rfam.
AUCCCAUCUCCACCAUCUGGCUAGGAUCAAAUGCAGUACUUGUUCCUAUCAGCUUGUAUCUGGUGUGCUCUCAGUUUAAGGGCUUUAUAUUAAGCAGAUACGUUAGGUGUCCGCACACACUCUGUACAUCCAUCUGGUAUUGUAACGCUUCCAGGAGUGGUGCAGAGAUA